CACGUAGGGUCCGAGCGUUGUCCGGAUUUAUUGGGCGUAAAGGGCCCGUAGGCGGCUUGGUAAGUCGGGUGUGAAAACCCCAGGCUCAACCUGGGGACGCCACCCGAUACUGCCAUGGCUUGAGUCUGGUAGGGGAGUGCGGAACUCCUGGUGUAGCGGUGAAAUGCAUAGAUAUCAGGAAGAACACCGGUGGCGAAGGCGGCACUCUGGGCCAGUACUGACGCUGAUGGGCGAAAGCGUGGGGAGCAAACAGGAUUAGAUACCCUGGUAGUCCACGCCGUAAACGUUGGGCACUAGGUGUGGGGGGUUUCAACGCCCUCUGUGCCGUAGCUAACGCAUUAAGUGCCCCGCCUGGGGAGUACGGCCGCAAGGCUAAA
RNAcentral lists this ribosomal RNA (377 nucleotides) under uncultured bacterium. RNAcentral's name for it is "bacterial SSU rRNA". It matches the Rfam family "Bacterial small subunit ribosomal RNA", at positions 524 to 898 of the family's 1533-position model. The record is from RNAcentral.